Long non-coding RNA from Oncorhynchus keta (chum salmon), 541 nucleotides. RefSeq lists it as uncharacterized. NCBI's taxonomy places the organism in Eukaryota, Metazoa, Chordata, Actinopteri, Salmoniformes, Salmonidae. The transcript is spliced from 6 exons. The record is from RefSeq and is a predicted model, not a curated record.
UCUGACAGUAGGUUCACCUAGUACAGGAGCAGUCAUGGAAGCUUCAUCAGUCUGACAGUAGGUCCACCUAGUACAGGAGCAGUCAUGGAAGCUUCAUCAGUCUGACAGUAGGUCCACCUAGUACAGGAGCAGUCAUGGAAGCUUCAUCAGUCUGACAGUAGGUCCACAUAGUACAGGAGCAGCCAUGGAAGCUUCAUCAGUCUGACUGUAGGUCCACCUAGUACAGGAGCAGUCAUGGAAGCUUCAUCAGUCUGACAGUAGGUCCACAUAGUACAGGAGCAGCCAUGGAAGCUUCAUCAGUCUGACUGUAGGUCCACCUAGUACAGGAGCAGUCAUGGAAGCUUCAUCAGUCUGACAAUAGGUCCACCUAGUACAGGAGCAGUCAUGGAAGCUUCAUCAGUCUGACAGUAGGUCCACCUAGUACAGGAGCAGUCAUGGAAGCUUCAUCAUUCCACACUGUAGUUCUACCAAUCUGUUUUAUAGCCUCUGCAUACGAUACAUCAUGACUGAUCCUAUAUCUCUGAAGCCUCUCUAGCCUUUC